RNAcentral lists this ribosomal RNA (1448 nucleotides) under uncultured archaeon. Its description in RNAcentral is "bacterial SSU rRNA". It matches the Rfam family "Archaeal small subunit ribosomal RNA". The record is from RNAcentral.
ACCCGACUGCUAUGGGGAUGAGACUAAGAUAUGCAAGUCGAACGCCUGUAACUAUGUACAGGAGUGGCACACCGCUCAGUAACACGUUGACAACCUACCCUCCGGACGGAGACAACCACGGGAAACUGUGGCUAAUCUCCGAUAGACGGCGAUGCCUGGAAUGGUCCGCCGUCCAAAGCCAGCCAUGCAUGUAUGAUGCGCGCCAGAGGAUGGGUCAGCGGCUGAUUAGGUAGUUGGUGAGGUAACGGCUCACCAAGCCAUCGAUCAGUACCGGCCGUGAAAGCGGGAACCGGGAGAUGGGCACUGAGACAAAGGCCCAGGCCCUACGGGGCGCAGCAAUCGCGAAACCUCCACAAUCCGGGCAACCGGGAUGGGGUCAUCCCCAGUGCCACGCCACCGCGUGGUUUUUACCGACAGUAGGAACGUCGGAGAAUAAGGGGAGGGCAAGGCUGGUGCCAGCCGCCGCGGUAAAACCAGCUCCUCAAGUGGUUGGGAUGAUUAUUGGGCCUAAAGCAUCCGUAGCCGGCCCGGCAAGUUCCUGGUUAAAUCCAACCGCUCAACGGUUGGGCCGCUGGGAAUACUACAGGGCUUGGGAGCGGGAGAGGCCGAGGGUACUCCUAGGGUAGGGGUGAAAUCCUGUGAUCCUAGGGGGACCACCAGUGGCGAAGGCGCUCGGCUGGAACGCGUCCGACGGUGAUGGAUGAAAGCCAGGGGAGCGAACCGGAUUAGAUACCCGGGUAGUCCUGGCCGUAAACGAUGCGGGCUAGGUGUCGGCCCGGCUACGAGCCGGACCGGUGCCGAAGCAAAGGCGUUAAGCCCGCCGCCUGGGAAGUACGGUCGCAAGGCUGAAACUUAAAGGAAUUGGCGGGGGAGCACCACAAGGCGUGAAGCCUGCGGUUCAAUUGGAUUCAACGCCAGGAAACUCACCGGGAGCGACAGCAGAAUGACGAUCAGGCUGAUGACCUUAUCCGACGCGCUGAGAGGAGGUGCAUGGCCGUCGACAGUUCGUGGCGUGAGCUGUCCUCUUAAGUGAGGCAACGAACGAGACCCCCACCAUUAGUUGCCAGCGAUACCCUACGGGGUAGCCGGGCACACUAAUGGGACCGCAGCUGAUAAAGCUGAUGAAGGCGGGGGCCACGGCAGGUCAGUAUGCCCCGAAACUCCCGGGCCACACGCGGGCUGCAAAGCCCCGGACAAUGGGCUGCAACCCCGAAAGGGGAAGCAAAUCUCACAAACCGGGGCACAGUCGGGACCGAUGGCUGCAACCCGCCAUCGCGAACAUGGAAUGCCUAGUAAUCGCCUGUCAACACCAGGCGGUGAAUACGUCCCUGCUCCUUGCACACACCGCCCGUCGCUCCACCCGAGUCAAGUUGGGAUGAGCCGCUGUCCGCCAGCAAGCUUCGGCAAGCAGGUGGGUGGUGUCGAAUCCGAGCUCGGCAAGGGGGGAG